RNAcentral lists this unclassified non-coding RNA (89 nucleotides) under Pseudomonas corrugata. The record is from RNAcentral. Lineage: Bacteria; Pseudomonadati; Pseudomonadota; Gammaproteobacteria; Pseudomonadales; Pseudomonadaceae.
UGUGGGAGCGAGCCUGCUCGCGAUUGCGGUUGAUCAGCUAUCCAUUCAUUGGCUGACUUACCGCUAUCGCGAGCAGGCUCGCUCCCACA